UGCCUCAAAGCAGUUUAUAGUAAUGUAAAGAACCCUGCUCUGCUUUGUAGAGUUUGUAACAGUUUCAGGAAAGGAUGGCCUUCUCUCCUUACCUUGUUUUUAUUCCCCUGUUAGAUCUGAUCAGUCGUUUUGUGUCAGCACAAAGCGAUGGAUGCUGGAACACCUUGCACAGGAUGGGUGAGUCAUGUGUUCAAGGACUUGGGCGCUUCGCUGUUGUGGGAACAUUUCCAUUUUCUGAUUUCCAUGAAGCCACAGAACAAACUAAAAUGGCCUCCCUGAUUCAACAUUGCAGAAGGAGAUGGUUGCGCUGCUAAAAUACGCUUAGUGCUCCAUUUUACCUGCGGCUACGAACGACAAAGAGGCAACACACAGAAGUACACAGCAGGUGUGGGAACGGAAACCGGGAUCAAAACUUUUAUUUGUUUCUUGGGUGUGUCUAAUGAAGCCAAGUACAUUUUGUGACCAGUAAUAACUGACUUACAACAUUCAUAUGCAUCUGGAAGUUUUACAAAAGAAAAAGAAACAGAAAAACUUGUGGUUUAAUUUUUGCAUUCAUGGUCUGAAACAAACUCUAUUUAUGGAAAACGAAUUGGGCAUGAUCUUACCCCCUUUAGAGGUAGUGCCUCUUCCUCUUAUGAGGCCCCAGCUUGCAGAAGUGGGUUCUGAAACAAUAUAUUUCAGCAUUUUAAUAAGGGUGUGGUCAAUGUUUUGUUUUGUUUUUUUUUUUUCCAUAUUUGACUUUCAAAUAAAAAAAACAAACUUCUAAAACAAGCUAUUGAAUUUACUUAUCUACUUUUAAAGAUACUGUAAAGUGGAACCUUUUCUACGACGUCUCAAAUGUCUUUGUUCAGGGCUAGUAAACGCUUAUUGACUAGAGAUGGUUUUAAUUUACUCCUACUUUUACUGUUACACCAUGUACAAAUGUCUUGUGCAUAAAUAAUUGUGGGCAUCUGACUAAACUAGUGCAAAAUUGGGGAAAGCUUUGACAUCAUAAGAAACUCAGAAACUUGCUCUCUUGGCUUGAGGGUCCCAGUAAGUCCUUAACUUGUUUAUGACUUCUAAAACCUAAUAAAGAACCGGUUUAAAGUAGAAGAAUACGUGACCUCAUUACAAGCAUUUUCUGUUGAUCUCAUUCGAACGGGUUAUACAUUUCAGCCUUUGUCUGCCCUCUAGAGGCGCUAAA
Gambusia affinis (western mosquitofish) is the source of this 1183-nucleotide long non-coding RNA. RefSeq lists it as uncharacterized. The record is from RefSeq and is a predicted model, not a curated record. The transcript has 3 exons. NCBI's taxonomy places the organism in Eukaryota, Metazoa, Chordata, Actinopteri, Cyprinodontiformes, Poeciliidae.